RNAcentral lists this ribosomal RNA (459 nucleotides) under uncultured bacterium. Its description in RNAcentral is "partial 16S ribosomal RNA". It matches the Rfam family "Bacterial small subunit ribosomal RNA", at positions 338 to 795 of the family's 1533-position model. The record is from RNAcentral.
CCUACGGGCGGCAGCAGUGAGGAAUAUUGGUCAAUGGCCGAGAGGCUGAACCAGCCAAGUCGCGUGAGGGAAGAUUGUCCUAAGGAUUGUAAACCUCUUUUGUCAGGGAGCAAAGUCACCCACGUGUGGGUGUUGGAGAGUACCUGAAGAAAAAGCAUCGGCUAACUCCGUGCCAGCAGCCGCGGUAAUACGGAGGAUGCGAGCGUUAUCCGGAUUUAUUGGGUUUAAAGGGUGCGUAGGCGGGUUAUUAAGUCAGCGGUAAAAUCGUGGGGCUCAACUCCAGCCAGCCGUUGAAACUGAUUGUCUUGAGUUGUCGAGAAGUAUGCGGAAUGCGUGGUGUAGCGGUGAAAUGCAUAGAUAUUGCGCAGAACUCCGAUUGCGAAGGCAGCAUACCGGCGCCCGACUGACGCUGAAGCACGAAAGCGUGGGUAUCGAACAGGAUUAGAUACCCUUGUAGUC